Bombyx mori (domestic silkworm) is the source of this 2658-nucleotide long non-coding RNA. RefSeq lists it as uncharacterized. The transcript has 4 exons. The record is from RefSeq and is a predicted model, not a curated record. NCBI's taxonomy places the organism in Eukaryota, Metazoa, Arthropoda, Insecta, Lepidoptera, Bombycidae.
AAGCAUAAGUAGGUUCUUAUUCGGCUAUGUUUUCAAUUCAAGCCGCAUUAAGCCUACUUAGACUGGCGACAUAACAAUACACCAACGUGAAAAUCCUGAAAAUCCUGUUAUCGUGAUUCACGCUUUUUUAAUUUUGUUGUGAUCAUAAGUAGGUUUUAUUCGACUUUGUUCUAUAUUCAAGUCGCGUGAAUCCUACUUUUGAUGACUGCGAGAUUACCAGCAUUUCUUCUGAAACCUUCAAACAAUUUCGAUACUAAUUAUUUCAAACUUGCGCGGCUAUCAAUGUCUGUGUACCGGUGUGAUGGCGCUUGCAAAACCGCCGAAAUAUCCGAUUCUAAGUGAUAAUUGUGGCUCUAGAUCGGCCUAGUAUUGGUGGCGGGGCAGAGCCGAGCGUGACGCCAUGCCUGACGCCGUCGACUGCAAGAGGUCGGCUGCAGACGACACGUCACCAGCUGCUCUGAGAGGCAAACGAACUCUAGAUCCAACGGAGUCCAUGGACAUCAUAACGUGAACGACAGCCACCCACCUUGAAUUAGAAGGUUACCAUCUCAGAGGACCAACCGUUAGACAUCGCAAUGUUUCCUUGCGAGCUCACCUCGCGGCCGACAAUGUGUGGCUAGUUACUUCGUGACUAAAAGCAAAAAUUUGUAAUCGAAAAUACUAUUAUAAAAAAAUACAUGAAUACUGAUAGUCUUCGAUUUUCUUUGUAAAUCUAUUUAGGAUCACCCCUCGGAGUUCCGACAACUGCAGUACGAACACUACACUCAGAUAGAAUUGUGAAUAAGGACCCCUACAGAGAGAUGUAACACGCGCUAUAUCACCUAUCGUUCAUUUAUAUUUAGCAUGCGCUGAGGUCGUAUCAAUGAAGAGCAUGCAAUCCGCAAUCGGUCGCAUCCUCUCCGGCGUCCUAUUGUGAGCAGCUUGAUUCUUCAAUUGGGUACAAAUGGGUUCCCAUUGUGCGGCGGGGGCGCGGGUCCCGAGACGCAGUCGCACAAUCCGCAGCGGCAAUGAGGAAGUGAUGAGUUAGCGCGCGGCGCGGCGGGGGGGCGGGGGGCCUGCUCCCGGCCACAGUACACUGCUCGCUCAAUCCGCCUUUUGUCACCGAUAUCCUUUGCUUUCGCACAAAUGGAUGAUUGCACAAAUUGACUUGAUCUGAGUAAUUUUUUCUUGGACUCCAACAGCCACGACACACGGGAACCAUUUUUUCAAGAUUGUUAGCACAUGGAGGAAACGUUCAACGGGCUUUAGAGCCCUAGGAACCUCAUGGAUUUCUGCUGCUCGUUUUGUGCGUUACCUACGUCAUCAGUUCAAAUGGAAUCAAUAUUUGGUCAGCCCAGUCCCUCGGCCAUCGAUGACCGAUUCGAAUGCCAUAAACUGGCAAUUACAAUGAGAUGACGCGGCGUGUGUUGGUGCCCAGUCCACAAAUACAGCCAAAGACUAGAGCACUCCCCAUGGAACAUGCGGUACAAAAUACAGAGGGAAUCGAAUUUUACUGGGCGACCCGAGCUACGCGCCUGCAAAACAUAAACGACAUGCUUAAGUUGGGUACGUAAGGGGCUGCCUGCCCUUCUGUACAAAGAUGUAAGCAUCAGGAACCCUCAGGGCGCGGUGUCCUAUUUGAAAUUAUAAUUCAAUUAUACGAUUAGGCAAGAAUAACGUUUAUAAAAUCUCGUUCGUCGUGAUGUUGGUCCUGUCGACGUGUUGUCAGUUCUGUGGGCCUCCCGCAGACCUCAUCUCCAUCCCUGAGCACUGUGCUGCCUAUUGCUAUGCUGCCUAAAGUUGGUGUUCACAUUGUAGCUCAGUCUCUAUGGGCUCUACAAACUAUAAACUACAUUUUUUUUUCGAGCCGGUCCCGAAACUCCUUCGCAGUCCCCUAGGCGCUUAGGGGGCGCGCGGGGUAUAUGGGACUUGACGAACUGCAGAUUUUGGAAGCAGAUACCGGGUCCAAAGAUGUUUUAGGGCCCUACCACACUAAACGACAUCCCCUGCACUCUUACACCCGACGUCCGAUCUCCGUCCGGGGUCAGACCCGUUCAGAGUAGGGGGGUUCCCGCGGUCAACACUACAACCAGACACGCGGCGCCACCCCGAGGACGCCCGACCGACGGGUUGUCUAGGCGAUAGUUGACGGCCAACGACGUCGGUUUCCGCGGUACGGCGCACCCACCAGGCCGCCCGGAUGAUGCCGCUGGUGUUCCGGGAUACCCCACAGAGCCAGAACCAGCAUGCCAGGUCGGAACGCGAUAAAUCGCCGACCAGGUUGCUCUUCCACAGUAUGUUCGGCGACGACAGCGACGACGAGAAUGCGGACCGCAUCGCAGGCCGCAGCCGCCGACCGACGCGCCGUCCCGUCCUCCCGGUGUCAGCGCGCUAGAGUGACGGUAGUGUGCCGCGCAGCCUCAACCCUCCCAGGUCGCUCCGUGACUAUCACCGAAAGGAGACUGUCUCCUCACAAGGGCCGGAGCUGGACGAACGCCCUCCUUCGAACCACGGCUCGGCGCCGAGAGGGACGUAGAGCUCUCCCUCUCCCGUUCCGGCGCCUCUUUCUGCGGGAUGGUGGACUCGCAAAAUUCAAGCAUCGCCUGCCAGGAGCAAACUACAUAUUAUGUUAACUUCAUCUGCCUAUCCUUAUUAAAUAAAAAUGUUAAUUUUUUGUGU